GAUGAAGAACGUAGCGAAAUGCGAUAAGUAAUGUGAAUUGCAGAAUUCAGUGAAUCAUCGAAUCUUUGAACGCACAUUGCGCCCGCCAGUAUUCUGGCGGGCAUGCCUGUUCGAGCGUCAUUUCAACCAUCAAGCCCCCGGCUUGUGUUGGGGACCUGCGGCUGCCGCAGGCCCUGAAAAGCAGUGGCGGGCUCGCUGUCACACCGAGCGUAGUAGCAUACAUCUCGCUCUGGGCGUGCUGCGGGUUCCGGCCGUUAAACCACCUUCAUAACCCAAGGUUGACCGCGGAUCAGGUAGGAAGACCCGCUGAACUUAAGCAUAUCAAUAAGCGGAGGA
This 336-nucleotide unclassified non-coding RNA is filed under the name soil metagenome. RNAcentral's name for it is "partial contains 5.8S ribosomal RNA, internal transcribed spacer 2, and large subunit ribosomal RNA". The stretch from base 1 to 120 matches the Rfam family "5.8S ribosomal RNA", at positions 35 to 154 of the family's 154-position model. The record is from RNAcentral.